This 445-nucleotide ribosomal RNA is filed under the name uncultured bacterium. RNAcentral describes it as "bacterial SSU rRNA". It matches the Rfam family "Bacterial small subunit ribosomal RNA", at positions 29 to 521 of the family's 1533-position model. The record is from RNAcentral.
AGCGAACGCUGGCGGCAGGCCUAACACAUGCAAGUCGAGCGCCCCGCAAGGGGAGCGGCAGACGGGAGAGUAACACGUGGGAACGUACCUUUCAGUUCGGAACAACCCAGGGAAACUUGGGCUAAUACCGGAUACGCCCGUAAGGGGAAAGAUUUAUCGCUGAAAGAUCGGCCCGCGUCUGAUUAGCUAGUUGGUGAGGUAACGGCUCACCAAGGCGACGAUCAGUAGCUGGUCUGAGAGGAUGAUCAGCCUCAUUGGGACUGAGACACGGCCCAAACUCCUACGGGAGGCAGCAGUGGGGAAUAUUGGACAAUGGGCGCAAGCCUGAUCCAAGCCAUGCCGCGUGGGUGAUGAAGGCCCUAGGGUUGUAAAGCCCUUUCGGCGGGAAGAUAAUGACGGUACCCGCAGAAGAAGCCCCGGCUAACUUCGUGCCAGCAGCCGCCGC